This 492-nucleotide ribosomal RNA is filed under the name uncultured bacterium. RNAcentral's name for it is "partial 16S ribosomal RNA". It matches the Rfam family "Bacterial small subunit ribosomal RNA", at positions 29 to 507 of the family's 1533-position model. The record is from RNAcentral.
AGUGAACGCUGGCGGUAGGCCUAACACAUGCAAGUCGAACGGCAGCACAGUAAGAGCUUGCUCUUACGGGUGGCGAGUGGCGGACGGGUGAGGAAUACAUCGGAAUCUACUUUUUCGUGGGGGAUAACGUAGGGAAACUUACGCUAAUACCGCAUACGACCUACGGGUGAAAGCAGGGGAUCUUCGGACCUUGCGCGAUUGAAUGAGCCGAUGUCGGAUUAGCUAAUUGGCGGGGUAAAGGCCCACCAAGGCGACGAUCCGUAGCUGGUCUGAGAGGAUGAUCAGCCACACUGGAACUGAGACACGGUCCAGACUCCUACGGGAGGCAGCAGUGGGGAAUAUUGGACAAUGGGCGCAAGCCUGAUCCAGCCAUACCGCGUGGGUGAAGAAGGCCUUCGGGUUGUAAAGCCCUUUUGUUGGGAAAGAAAAGCAGCAGGUUAAUACCCCGCUGUUCUGACGGUACCCAAAGAAUAAGCAUCGGCUAACUUCGUG